Molecule: non-coding RNA, 203 nt
Organism: Pelobates cultripes (western spadefoot toad)
Lineage: Eukaryota; Metazoa; Chordata; Amphibia; Anura; Pelobatidae
Source: the annotation of a GenBank genome assembly
CUCGAAAAUAGGUUGAUUGUGAAGUGCAAUUUCCUGAUGAUGUUACAAUCAGACCUUGAAGAAGAAAGAAGAUUUUUGACUACGAACAUGAAGAUGAGUUUCUUGCAGACCCUACACAAAGUGUUAAAGUGAAUAUUUUCAUUGCAGUUUUGGACACAUCCUUACAACUUAUAAAUGAGAAAUUCAAGUUACUUUAGAGCCAU